CCCGCACAAGCGGUGGAGUAUGUGGUUUAAUUCGAUGCAACGCGAAAACCUUACCUGCCCUUGACAUCCUCGGAACUUGUCAGAGAUGACUUGGUGCCCUCGGGAACCGAGAGACAGGUGCUGCAUGGCUGUCGUCAGCUCGUGUCGUGAGAUGUUGGGUUAAGUCCCGCAACGAGCGCAACCCUUACCCUUAGUUGUUUCCCGAAAGGAUUACCCUCUAAGGGGACUGCCCCGGACAACGGGAGGAAGGUGGGGAUGACGUCAAGUCCGCAUGCUCCUUACGUCUAGGGCUACACACGUCCUACAAUGGGGUCGACAGUGGGAUGCAAAGCCGCGAGGUGGAGCCAAUCCCCAAACGGCCUCUCAGUUCGGAUAGUAGUCUGCAACUCGACUACUUGAAGUCGGAAUCGCUAGUAAUGGCGGAUCAGCAUGCCGCCGUGAAUACGUUCCCGGGUCUU
RNAcentral lists this ribosomal RNA (458 nucleotides) under uncultured bacterium. Its description in RNAcentral is "bacterial SSU rRNA". It matches the Rfam family "Bacterial small subunit ribosomal RNA", at positions 920 to 1382 of the family's 1533-position model. The record is from RNAcentral.